Molecule: long non-coding RNA, 1437 nt
Filed under: Bemisia tabaci
Lineage: Eukaryota; Metazoa; Arthropoda; Insecta; Hemiptera; Aleyrodidae
Description: lncRNA ENSSSA3NGG000531
Source: RNAcentral
ACUCGAUAAAAAGUAAAAAAUGGCCCCAAAGUCAAAUAUCUUUGUCGAACAUGGCAAAAUUUUUAAAUAUUUCAUCUUCAGGACAAAGUUAUCCAAACUUCAAGUUCAUUUUUGGAUUCACAAAUAUAAAGAGGACCCUCUCUUGUUUCACAGGAACUCUUGGAGAUAGUAAAAUCUCUGGAGAAAGAUAAUUUUAGUGGGGAGAAAACAAGAUUAAAGCCGAUUAAUGAAAGUUCCAAAUCCGUUGAACUUUUACGGCUUGAAAUAGAGCGUUUGAAAGAAGUCAACAAUCAACUUCAAGCCUCACUGGAACUGAAAGACAAAGACUUUAUGAUGGCAAAUGAAAAGUACAAAGAGAUUAUAAAAGAAAAUGAUCACAAACUGCAGCAAUUCGGGGGCCAACUAAAAAAAGAUCAGGAAACAUCGACGGAAAGCUUGACAAUUGAAAAAGUAUGUACUUGAGUAGCCUAUUCUCAUCUGAGAGUAGCUUCAUUUCUUAUGACAAUUUUGGUCAGCAUGGCGAAAUUUAAAAAUUCUGACUCGCUAAACCAGACUAACUUUUAUCUCUUUUGCUCAUCUUUGAUUCAGCUGAACUCUUGAGCUGAGGAACAAAUUUAUAGUAAAGCUAUAAUGAGAAAAAGAAAAAAAACAGAUUUUUUUCGGAGGUUUUUAUGUAAUGUUUGCAAUCAUUUAAAAUGAUUAAUCGGCAUCAUAAUCAGCAAAAUUGAUGAAAUCUGGAUUUUAUAAUCCAUCAGAACUCUGCGUUAGGUUAAGCAGUUGGAUUCUCACAAGAUUAAAGUCUAUAUUUAGGAGCAUAUUUUUGGACGAUUGGAGCAAAAGUAUGAAUAAUUUUCAUUUUUUAAGUUGACCAUGCAGAAAUUAGAGGAACAAUAUAUUAUGUGAUAGUGCAAACAACACUCUCUUAUCAAGAAAGUUAACAUGCUUUUCAAUACCUCAAAGGAAGAAAUACUGACGAUUCCCGAAAAAUGAGUCACAAGAUGAUCAAUCAGAAACCAAAUUUUGGUAAUCGCAGACCAAUAAAUGAUCCAAUUGAUGUUUUGCCAGCUUUUUUAUUGUCAAUAACUUUAUAGACAUGCUAUUCUUCAUGGAGAUUAAUUUAUCUUUAGUUGUUUGCUUUUGACAUGCGUGUAAUUGUAACUGUCACCUGCAUCAUUUGGGUUUUUGUAGCAAUCAAGCACUGAAAACUUCUCGGAGAUUAUGAAGCUGUUUUGAGGGAACAGUUGAGCGCAGAAUUGAUCACAAUGAAAGAAGAAAUGGCAACUGUACAAUCACAACUAACUCUUGCUGAGCAGGUAUAGUUUGCCCUCAAUUCUGAUUUAAGCAUUCAUUACGUAGUCGUCAACCUUGUAAUGUACAAAGCUGUUGCAUUAUAUGUCCCCACAGAUUUCCUGCCGGUUACAUCUAUCCUGAAAGUUG